This 326-nucleotide ribosomal RNA is filed under the name uncultured soil bacterium. RNAcentral's name for it is "bacterial SSU rRNA". It matches the Rfam family "Bacterial small subunit ribosomal RNA", at positions 26 to 353 of the family's 1533-position model. The record is from RNAcentral.
AGAUUGAACGCUGGCGGAAUGCUUUACACAUGCAAGUCGAACGGCAGCACGGGGGCAACCCUGGUGGCGAGUGGCGAACGGGUGAGUAAUACAUCGGAACGUGCCCAGUCGUGGGGGAUAACUACGCGAAAGCGUAGCUAAUACCGCAUACGAACUCUGGUUGAAAGCGGGGGACUCGCAAGAGCCUCGCGCGAUUGGAGCGGCCGAUGGCAGAUUAGGUAGUUGGUGGGGUAAAGGCUCACCAAGCCGACGAUCUGUAGCUGGUCUGAGAGGACGACCAGCCACACUGGGACUGAGACACGGCCCAGACUCCUACGGGAGCAGCA